UACAGAGGUGGCAAGCGUUGUUCGGAAUUACUGGGCGUAAAGGGCGCGUAGGCGGCCUUCUAAGUCAGACGUGAAAUCCCCCGGCUUAACCUGGGAACUGCGUCUGAUACUGGGAGGCUAGAGUAUGGGAGAGGGAUGUAGAAUUCCAGGUGUAGCGGUGAAAUGCGUAGAUAUCUGGAGGAAUACCGGUGGCGAAGGCGGCAUCCUGGACCAUUACUGACGCUGAGGAGCGAAAGCGUGGGGAUCAAACAGG
RNAcentral lists this ribosomal RNA (253 nucleotides) under uncultured bacterium. RNAcentral's name for it is "partial 16S ribosomal RNA". It matches the Rfam family "Bacterial small subunit ribosomal RNA", at positions 524 to 776 of the family's 1533-position model. The record is from RNAcentral.